Small nucleolar RNA from Ziziphus jujuba (common jujube), 80 nucleotides. RefSeq annotates it as small nucleolar RNA snoR122. NCBI's taxonomy places the organism in Eukaryota, Viridiplantae, Streptophyta, Magnoliopsida, Rosales, Rhamnaceae. The transcript has a single exon. The record is from RefSeq and is a predicted model, not a curated record.
UGCCAAUGAUGGAUUUUACUAAUGCACGUAUUAUCAGAUUACAUAUGAUGAUAUAUGUAAUUGUCACUACCUCUGAGGCA